CACGUAGGGCGCAAGCGUUGUCCGGAAUUAUUGGGCGUAAAGAGCUCGUAGGCGGUCUGUUGCGUCCGCUGUGAAAACUCGGGGCUUAACCCCGAGCCUGCAGUGGAUACGGGCAGACUAGAGGUAGGUAGGAGAGAAUGGAAUUCCCGGUGUAGCGGUGAAAUGCGCAGAUAUCGGGAGGAACACCGGUGGCGAAGGCGGUUCUCUGGGCCUUACCUGACGCUGAGGAGCGAAGGCCAGGGGAGCAAACGGG
This 253-nucleotide ribosomal RNA is filed under the name uncultured bacterium. Its description in RNAcentral is "partial 16S ribosomal RNA". It matches the Rfam family "Bacterial small subunit ribosomal RNA", at positions 524 to 776 of the family's 1533-position model. The record is from RNAcentral.